GUGGCAGCCGCCGCGGUAAUACGGAGGGUGCAAGCGUUAUCCGGAUUCAUUGGGUUUAAAGGGUGCGCAGGCGGAUACUUAAGUCAGUGGUGAAAUCCCGGGGCUCAACCCCGGAACUGCCAUUGAUACUGAAUAUCUGGAAUACGGUUGAAGUGGGCGGAAUGUAGCAUGUAGCGGUGAAAUGCAUAGAGAUGCUACAGAACACCGAUCGCGAAGGCAGCUCACUAAGCCGAUAUUGACGCUCAGGCACGAAAGCGUGGGGAGCGAACAGGAUUAGAUACCCUGGUAGUCCACGCCGUAAACGAUGAUAACUCGUUGUUGGCGACACACAGUCAGCGACUAAGCGAAAGCGAUAAGUUAUCCACCUGGGGAGUACGAUCGCAAGGUUGAAACUUAAAGGAAUUGACGG
RNAcentral lists this ribosomal RNA (409 nucleotides) under uncultured bacterium. RNAcentral describes it as "bacterial SSU rRNA". It matches the Rfam family "Bacterial small subunit ribosomal RNA", at positions 505 to 916 of the family's 1533-position model. The record is from RNAcentral.